Molecule: non-coding RNA, 75 nt
Organism: Myotis brandtii (Brandt's bat)
Lineage: Eukaryota; Metazoa; Chordata; Mammalia; Chiroptera; Vespertilionidae
Source: Rfam
AGGGGUUCUCGGGUGACACACCCCAGAAUCGUGCUCCCUCCUCUCUAGUUCCGAGUGCAUCAACUGAGAACCGCA